UUACUUACCUGGAUGGGGUCAAUGGGUGAUCAUGAAGGCUCAUGGCCUAGGCAAGUGACCUCCAUUGCACUUUGGAGGGGUGCUAGCCUAAGGUCUACCCAAGCGGUGGAUCCUGCAUCAUAAUUUGUUGCUGUGGGGGCUUGCGUUCGCGCGGCCCCUUC
This 161-nucleotide small nuclear RNA is filed under the name Trifolium pratense (red clover). RNAcentral describes it as "snRNA U1". It matches the Rfam family "U1 spliceosomal RNA". From Rfam's summary of the family: U1 is a small nuclear RNA (snRNA) component of the spliceosome (involved in pre-mRNA splicing). Its 5' end forms complementary base pairs with the 5' splice junction, thus defining the 5' donor site of an intron. The record is from RNAcentral. Lineage: Eukaryota; Viridiplantae; Streptophyta; Magnoliopsida; Fabales; Fabaceae.